Numida meleagris (helmeted guineafowl) is the source of this 1840-nucleotide long non-coding RNA. Lineage: Eukaryota; Metazoa; Chordata; Aves; Galliformes; Numididae. The record is from Ensembl.
AGUGACCCAGAAACCCAACAAGAUGGCCCCAAAACCCAACGAGGUGACCCCAAAAGUCAACAAGGUGACCCGAAAACCCGAGGCGACCCCAAAACCCCAAUGAGAACCCAAAAACUUAAGAUGACCCCAAAAGUCAACAAAGUGACCCAAAACCCAACAAGGUGACACCAAACCCCAGUGAGACCCGAAAACUCAACUAAGUGACCCAAAACCCAAUAAUCUGACCCCAAAAACCAUUGAGAACCCAAAACCAAACAAGAUGACCAAAAACCCAACCAGAUGGCCCCAAAAGUCAACAAGAUGACCCCAAAACCCCAAUGAGAACUCAAAACUUAAGAAGAUGACCCCAAAACCCAACAAGGGGACCCCAAAACCCAACAAGGUGACCCCAAAACUCAACAAAGUGACCCAAAACCCAACAAGGUGACACCAAACCCCAGUGAGACCCGAAAACUCAACCAAGUGACCCAAAACCCAAUAAUCUGACCCCAAAAACCAUUGAGAACCCAAAACCAAACAAGGUGACCAAAAACCCAACGAGAUGGCCCCAAAAGUCAACAAGGUGACCCCAAAACUCGAAAAGAUGACCCCAAAACCCCAAUGAAAACCCAGAAGUUAAGAAGAUGACCUCAAAACCCAAUAAGGUGACCCCAAAAACCAUUGAGAACCCAAAACCCAACAAGAUGACCAAAAACCCAACCAGAUGGCCCCAAAACCCAACAAGAUGGCCCCAAAAGUCAACAAAGUGACCCAAAAAAUCAAAAAGAUGGCCCCAAAACCCCAAUGAGAACCCAAAAUUUAAGAAGAUGACCCCAAAAUCCAAUAAGGUGACCCCAAAACCCAACAAGGUGACCCCAAAACUCAACCAAGUGACCCAAAACCCAACAAGGUGACCCCAAAACCACAAAGAUUAUCCCCAAAACCUCAAAGGUCAACCUCGAGCUUCCCCAAGAACACCAAAACCCUAAAAAUUCUACCCAAAAAGCCCCCAAAUGACCCCAAAGUAUCGAGAUACCCCAACAUGGCCCCAAAAUGACCCCAAAAUAUCAAGAUUCUCCCCAAAAAAGAUGCAAAAUGACCCCAAAAUCUCCCGAAAUCCCCCCCAAAUCCCUCCAUCCUUGACCCUUUUUUCCCAUUUUUUUGCCCCAAAACCAGGUCGGGGUGAAGGGGAACCCUCAAGGCUUCAACCGCGGCCUGGACUGCGACGUCAUCGUGGCCGAGGUCCGCUCCACCAGCCACAAACCCGACGAAAUCUACGGCAUGAUCGAGCGCCUCUCGCCCGGCACCCGCAAGAUCGAACUCUUCGGCCGGCCCCACAACGUCCAACCCAAUUGGAUCACCUUGGGGAACCAACUGGACGGGAUCCACCUGCUGGACCCGGACGUGGUGGCUCAGUUCAAGCAGCACUACCCCGACGGGAUCAUCUCCAAACCCAAAAACGUGUAAUUUCCGCGGCGCCGUUUUGGGGCGCUUUGGGACAAAAUGAUCAUUUUGCCCUUCCCCUCCCUCCCCUUUCACCCGAAGAGCCAAAAAUAGACAUUUUCGGCGCGCGUUUUGGGGCGAAACCGGCGGAAAAAAACGCACCCGCAAAAAGGGACACAAAACCUCUUGGCUCUUUUUUUUUCUUUCUUUUUUUUUUUUUUUUAAUAGAAAUCGCCCAAAUUUGCCCCAAAAAUGGAAAUGGGGGAAGAGGAGGGGAGGGGGGGAAGGGCGUGGGGUGAAUUUUUGGGGUGAAUUUUGGGGUGAAUUCAGUGUUAUUUGACGAAAACCACGUUGUUGCUGGCGUUGCGGGCGGCCAACCAGGCCAGGAAGACGUCCCUGCAAGAAAUUUUGGGGUAAA